CGUAACAAGGUCUCCGUUGGUGAACCAGCGGAGGGAUCAUUACCGAGUUUACAACUCCCAAACCCCUGUGAACAUACCAAUUGUUGCCUCGGCGGAUCAGCCCGCUCCCGGUAAAACGGGACGGCCCGCCAGAGGACCCCUAAACUCUGUUUCUAUAUGUAACUUCUGAGUAAAACCAUAAAUAAAUCAAAACUUUCAACAACGGAUCUCUUGGUUCUGGCAUCGAUGAAGAACGCAGCAAAAUGCGAUAAGUAAUGUGAAUUGCAGAAUUCAGUGAAUCAUCGAAUCUUUGAACGCACAUUGCGCCCGCCAGUAUUCUGGCGGGCAUGCCUGUUCGAGCGUCAUUUCAACCCUCAAGCCCAGCUUGGUGUUGGAACUCGCGAGUCAAAUCGCGUUCCCCAAAUUGAUUGGCGGUCACGUCGAGCUUCCAUAGCGUAGUAGUAAAACCCUCGUUACUGGUAAUCGUCGCGGCCACGCCGUUAAACCCCAACUUCUGAAUGUUGACCUCGGAUCAGGUAGGAAUACCCGCUGAACUUAAGCAUAUC
Molecule: ribosomal RNA, 545 nt
Filed under: uncultured fungus
Lineage: Eukaryota; Fungi
Description: eukaryotic LSU rRNA
Rfam family: 5.8S ribosomal RNA (bases 191-344)
Source: RNAcentral